This 403-nucleotide long non-coding RNA is filed under the name Zonotrichia albicollis (white-throated sparrow). RNAcentral's name for it is "lncRNA (ENSZALG00000016444.1)". Lineage: Eukaryota; Metazoa; Chordata; Aves; Passeriformes; Passerellidae. The record is from RNAcentral.
CUUUUUUCAGGGGGAUGGGGUGAGGUGGCACCUACCAUGCAGUGCUCAAUUUGAAGACUUAAAUUCCUAAAUAAAUUUGUAGGAAUUGUCAAGGAUCCUGGCCUGGAAAAUAGUGCCAAACCUAUUCAUCAAAGGGGCAGCGUUCUAGGAUACUAAAGUUAGCACGUAUCAUCUUGUGUGAAAAAAUCCAGCCCAAUACAGAAUUUGAGAAAACUGUCUGUAUUUUAAUUUAUUUCAAUUGGGAGUCUUAACAAGCUGAAGCCAAAGGUUUGAAACACAGAUAAGAAGACAGAGGAUGUUUAUGCCUGGGGAAAGCAGAGGUACUGGCACCACCAGUUGGUCACAUACUGGGGAAGAAGAGGAUUUCUUGCUCCACCAGAAAAUUUUCUGAGCUUCUAUGUCC